UAGUUAUUUUCCCCACUUAUGGUGCUGGUGGAGCGGAAGUUGGUUUCUGGUGAGUAGUGGGUGGUGCAAGUGGAUAAGUGGUCAGUUCUUAAAGAGCAGAGAGGGUCACCUUAUGAAAGGAAUACGCUCCCUACGGUGCCGUCGGUGGAUCCUGAGGUGUUGGGGUAGAUCCCCUCCUAGGACGACCUCUGUCUAUCCUCAUCCCUUAUCCUUGUCUACUUGCAUCACAAUAGCCUCCAUCAGUCACUCGCCCUGAAAUGUGCCUACAAUCUACCACAUAAUUUAACCCUAAGAACUUGCUCUGAUACCAACUGUAACACCCCUGGUUAUUUUAUAGCCCUAAAUUUCACAUGUGCUCCAUUCAUUUAUAUUCACGAUCUCA
Molecule: long non-coding RNA, 382 nt
Filed under: Carica papaya (papaya)
Lineage: Eukaryota; Viridiplantae; Streptophyta; Magnoliopsida; Brassicales; Caricaceae
Description: long non-coding RNA (CPAP_LNC008723)
Source: RNAcentral